GUGGUUAUAGCUCAGAGGUAGAGCGCUCACCUAGCACGUGAGGCCCUGGGUUCAAUCCUCAGUACCACA
RNAcentral lists this transfer RNA (69 nucleotides) under Marmota marmota marmota (Alpine marmot). It matches the Rfam family "tRNA". Rfam says of the family: Transfer RNA (tRNA) molecules are approximately 80 nucleotides in length. Their secondary structure includes four short double-helical elements and three loops (D, anti-codon, and T loops). Lineage: Eukaryota; Metazoa; Chordata; Mammalia; Rodentia; Sciuridae. RNAcentral also lists the same sequence under 1 other name. The record is from Rfam by way of RNAcentral.